CAAUACGACUCUCGGCAACGGAUAUCUCGGCUCUCGCAUCGAUGAAGAACGUAGCGAAAUGCGAUACUUGGUGUGAAUUGCAGAAUCCCGUGAACCAUCGAGUCUUUGAACGCAAGUUGCGCCCCAAGGCUUCAGGCCGAGGGCACGUCUGCCUGGGUGUCACGC
Molecule: ribosomal RNA, 165 nt
Filed under: Aglaia tomentosa
Lineage: Eukaryota; Viridiplantae; Streptophyta; Magnoliopsida; Sapindales; Meliaceae
Description: 5.8S ribosomal RNA
Rfam family: 5.8S ribosomal RNA
About the family: 5.8S ribosomal RNA (5.8S rRNA) is a component of the large subunit of the eukaryotic ribosome. It is transcribed by RNA polymerase I as part of the 45S precursor that also contains 18S and 28S rRNA.
Source: RNAcentral